GUAUGAGGGCAAAACCAGCAUUUUGCCGACUGACUGCAUUAGUAAACCUAACGUUAAUGAGGAAGACUUUUUCAACGGCUCCUAACGUUAUGGGACAACAUCUUGCUAUCAACUUGCAGCUAGCUAUGUGGUGGAGGGGAGGAAGGCAGCCAAGAGGUAGUUGGCCGGUUUACGAGGCCAUGGUGGUCAAAAUUGCUGAGAGGCAACACUCGAAAGCUACAUCAAGGACACCGGAGGAUGGACCCGAAGACCUGAGACCAAGACGACCCAAGCCCAACCCAUAGUAUGCUUCACUGACAAAUGUUGAUGCUUCAUCGUCACAUAGACCAAAGGUUUCAGAGAAGGCUGGUAGAGCUCUCUAGGAGUGUGAGCUGUGGGAGAUAACCAAGAACUGACAACCACCUACAGAAGAGGUGGCGAUAAUGGCUCUCCAAGAGGAGGUUGUGAGUCUGAAGGCUUUUAUUCAACAAGGAGGCACUUAGAGGGAAUGCCUGGACCCUUAGAGGACUAAGACGAUAAUUGAGGCCACCCUGAAGCAGUUCCCAGGCUAGACACUCACUCCAGAUUGCUGGGCCAGGCAAUAAAUGCCAAAGUGACAACUGAGGUUCCAUAACAAAAACAACAAGAUUUUCAAUAAAAUAGAAUAAAAGAUAACAGAAGUGUUGUGUGUUUCUUCCUCUUUAUACUGAUACUAUGGUUAAUUUUAAGUAAACACAAGUGAAAUAUUUAAUGAUCAAUGCGGAAAAUAUCAAACCAUAGUAGAAUAUGAACUAUAUUAGAUAAAUAUAUGUCUGAAAUAUAUAGAUCAUGUGAUCAGAAUCUUCAUCAAGGGUCAUGUGAUCAUGCUUCUUACUGCCAUAUAUUUAAAUAUAUUUAAUUAUAUGCAUAAAAUAUA
Molecule: long non-coding RNA, 895 nt
Organism: Alosa alosa (allis shad)
Lineage: Eukaryota; Metazoa; Chordata; Actinopteri; Clupeiformes; Clupeidae
Exons: 5
Source: RefSeq, a predicted model, not a curated record